AUUGAACGCUGGCGGCAUGCUUUACACAUGCAAGUCGAACGGUAACAGGCCGCAAGGUGCUGACGAGUGGCGAACGGGUGAGUAAUGCAUCGGAACGUGCCCAGUCGUGGGGGAUAACUACUCGAAAGAGUAGCUAAUACCGCAUACGAUCUAUGGAUGAAAGCGGGGGACCGUAAGGCCUCGCGCGAUUGGAGCGGCCGAUGUCAGAUUAGGUAGUUGGUGGGGUAAAGGCUCACCAAGCCAACGAUCUGUAGCUGGUCUGAGAGGACGACCAGCCACACUGGGACUGAGACACGGCCCAGACUCCUACGGGAGGCAGCAGUGGGGGAUUUUGGACAAUGGGCGCAAGCCUGAUCCAGCAAUGCCGCGUGCAGGAAGAAGGCCUUCGGGUUGUAAACUGCUUUUGCACGGAACGAAACGGCUCUGGUUAAUACCCGGGGCUAAUGACGGUACCGUAAGAAUAAGCACCGGCUAACUACGUG
Molecule: ribosomal RNA, 482 nt
Filed under: uncultured bacterium
Lineage: Bacteria
Description: partial 16S ribosomal RNA
Rfam family: Bacterial small subunit ribosomal RNA
Source: RNAcentral